This 856-nucleotide ribosomal RNA is filed under the name uncultured bacterium. RNAcentral's name for it is "bacterial SSU rRNA". It matches the Rfam family "Bacterial small subunit ribosomal RNA", at positions 524 to 1381 of the family's 1533-position model. The record is from RNAcentral.
UACGAAGGGACCUAGCGUAGUUCGGAAUUACUGGGCUUAAAGAGUUCGUAGGUGGUUGAAAAAGUUGGUGGUGAAAUCCCAGAGCUUAACUCUGGAACUGCCAUCAAAACUUUUCAGCUAGAGUAUGAUAGAGGAAAGCAGAAUUUCUAGUGUAGAGGUGAAAUUCGUAGAUGUUAGAAAGAAUACCAAUUGCGAAGGCAGCUUUCUGGAUCAUUACUGACACUGAGGAACGAAAGCAUGGGUAGCGAAGAGGAUUAGAUACCCUCGUAGUCCAUGCCGUAAACGAUGUGUGUUAGACGUUGGAAAUUUAUUUUCAGUGUCGCAGCGAAAGCGAUAAACACACCGCCUGGGGAGUACGACCGCAAGGUUAAAACUCAAAUGAAUUGACGGGGACCCGCACAAGUAGUGGAGCAUGUGGUUUAAUUCGAAGAUACGCGCAGAACCUUACCAACACUUGACAUGUUCGUCGCGACUCUAAGAGAUUAGAGUUUUCGGUUCGGCCGGACGAAACACAGGUGCUGCAUGGCUGCCGUCAGCUCGUGUCGUGAGAUGUUGGGUUAAGUCCCGCAACGAGCGCAACCCUCACUUUUAGUUGCCAUCAUUAAGUUGGGCACUCUGAAAGAACUGCCAGUGAUAAGCUGGAGGAAGGUGGGGAUGACGUCAAGUCCUCAUGGCCCUUACGUGUUGGGCUACACACGUGCUACAAUGGUAUCUACAACAGGAAGCAAGACUGCGAAGUUAAGCAAAUCCCUAAAAGAUACCUCAGUUCGGAUUGCACUCUGCAACUCGAGUGCAUGAAGCUGGAAUUACUAGUAAUCGUGGAUCAGCGUGCCACGGUGAAUGCGUUCCCGGGUCU